Molecule: ribosomal RNA, 470 nt
Filed under: uncultured bacterium
Lineage: Bacteria
Description: partial 16S ribosomal RNA
Rfam family: Bacterial small subunit ribosomal RNA
Source: RNAcentral
UGGGGAGUAUUGCACAAUGGGCGCAAGCCUGAUGCAGCCAUGCCGCGUGUGUGAAGAAGGCCUUCGGGUUGUAAAGCACUUUCAGCGAGGAGGAAGGUGGUGAACUUAAUACGUUCAUCAAUUGACGUUACUCGCAGAAGAAGCACCGGCUAACUCCGUUGCCAGCAGCCGCGGGUAAUACGGAGGGUGCAAGCGUUAAUCGGAAUUACUGGGCGUAAAGCGCACGCAGGCGGUUUGUUAAGUCAGAUGUGAAAUCCCCGGGCUCAACCUGGGAACUGCAUUUGAAACUGGCAAGCUAGAGUCUCGUAGAGGGGGGUAGAAUUCCAGGUGUAGCGGUGAAAUGCGUAGAGAUCUGGAGGAAUACCGGUGGCGAAGGCGGCCCCCUGGACGAAGACUGACGCUCAGGUGCGAAAGCGUGGGGAGCAAACAGGAUUAGAUACCCUGGUAGUCCACGCUGUAAACGAUGUCGA